UACAGAGGUGGCAAGCGUUGUUCGGAAUUACUGGGCGUAAAGGGCGCGUAGGCGGUCUUGUCAGUCCCUUGUGAAAUCCCCCGGCUCAACUGGGGAACUGCACGGGAAACAGCAGGGCUUGAGUUCGGGAGAGGGAAGCGGAAUUCCGGGUGUAGCGGUGAAAUGCGUAGAUAUCCGGAGGAACACCAAUGGCGAAGGCAGCUCGCUGGGACGUUACUGACGCUGAGACGCGAAAGCGUGGGGAGCAAACAGG
This 253-nucleotide ribosomal RNA is filed under the name uncultured bacterium. RNAcentral describes it as "partial 16S ribosomal RNA". It matches the Rfam family "Bacterial small subunit ribosomal RNA", at positions 524 to 776 of the family's 1533-position model. The record is from RNAcentral.